This 478-nucleotide ribosomal RNA is filed under the name uncultured bacterium. RNAcentral's name for it is "bacterial SSU rRNA". It matches the Rfam family "Bacterial small subunit ribosomal RNA", at positions 356 to 831 of the family's 1533-position model. The record is from RNAcentral.
GAGGAAUAUUGGUCAAUGGGCGAUGGCCUGAACCAGCCAAGUAGCGUGAAGGAUGACUGCCCUAUGGGUUGUAAACUUCUUUUAUAAAGGAAUAAAGUCGGGUAUGCAUACCCGUUUGCAUGUACUUUAUGAAUAAGGAUCGGCUAACUCCGUGCCAGCAGCCGCGGUAAUACGGAGGAUCCGAGCGUUAUCCGGAUUUAUUGGGUUUAAAGGGAGCGUAGAUGGAUGUUUAAGUCAGUUGUGAAAGUUUGCGGCUCAACCGUAAAAUUGCAGUUGAUACUGGAUGUCUUGAGUGCAGUUGAGGCAGGCGGAAUUCGUGGUGUAGCGGUGAAAUGCUUAGAUAUCACGAAGAACUCCGAUUGCGAAGGCAGCCUGCUAAGCUGCAACUGACAUUGAGGCUCGAAAGUGUGGGUAUCAAACAGGAUUAGAUACCCUGGUAGUCCACACGGUAAACGAUGAAUACUCGCUGUUUGCGAUA